Molecule: ribosomal RNA, 490 nt
Filed under: uncultured bacterium
Lineage: Bacteria
Description: partial 16S ribosomal RNA
Rfam family: Bacterial small subunit ribosomal RNA
Source: RNAcentral
GAUGAACGCUCGCUACAGGCUUAACACAUGCAAGUCGCGGGGCAGCAUGGGGGUUGCUUGCAAUCCCCGAUGGCGACCGGCGCACGGGUGAGUAACGCGUAUCCAACCUGCCCUUCACCACGGGAUAACCCGGCGAAAGUCGGACUAAUACCGUAUGUUGUCCAUUGACGGCAUCCGAUUUGGACGAAAGGUUUGGCGGUGAAGGAUGGGGAUGCGUCCGAUUAGCUGGACGGCGGGGUGACGGCCCACCGUGGCGACGAUCGGUAGGGGUUCUGAGAGGAAGGUCCCCCACACUGGAACUGAGACACGGUCCAGACUCCUACGGGAGGCAGCAGUGAGGAAUAUUGGUCAAUGGGCGUAAGCCUGAACCAGCCAAGUAGCGUGCAGGAUGACGGCCCUAUGGGUCGUAAACUGCUUUUAUGCGGGGAUAAAGUGGCCCACGUGUGGGUUUUUGCAGGUACCGCAUGAAUAAGGACCGGCUAAUUCCGUG